Molecule: long non-coding RNA, 1486 nt
Organism: Macrobrachium nipponense
Lineage: Eukaryota; Metazoa; Arthropoda; Malacostraca; Decapoda; Palaemonidae
Exons: 3
Source: RefSeq, a predicted model, not a curated record
UCGACAUCAUUAUUAGAAUCCAUACAAAUUACCAACAAAUUCGACAUCAUUAUUAGAAUCCAUACAUGUUUAAUAAACGAAGUCCACAUGUAUGCCAUGUCCACAACGAUAGCCUCUCGAUAAUCCUGACAACACCAUCACGAGACGAGAGCCAAGUUAAAACGACCUGAACCAGACUUUUCGCGAGUCAUUUUCUUGGGGAAUGAAGAUGCUCUCCCGCGCGCGGGAACUUGGCACGCUGCCGGCUCACACCCAAGUCACAUGGUUCAGCAUUCGGCCUGUCCACUUCGCGGUACUUGUAUCUAAUAUUCACCUCCUUAGUAUGCCCGGUAGUCCAGUGUCUUGCAGUUUAUAGAAAAUGUGUGUAAUUGAAGGCCUCGGAGAAACGAAAACUCUCAAUUGCAUGCGAGCAUUCAUUUUGGAAAACGUGUUGCAUUGGCGAUGAUGUAAUAUAAUUCACAGCAUCCAAACAGAGAGGAGGAAUGACCCGGUUACCAUAUCUUCAAGCGACUGCAUAUUCCGAAUACCGCCAGAAAACAUAAUCAUUAUUUUGUUAAGCGUUUCAUAUUAAAGUGAGGCUAGAGCGGCGCUACUUAAGAAUAUCAGAUUGUGAUACAUAUUUUAGAGAUGGAAGAUUAAAGAUCUGGGAAAUAGAAAGCAAAACAAGAAUUCAAUCAUAACCUUUAAAACAACAUAAAUGGAGCAGUUUCGGUGGGUCCUUUUGGAGAAAAUACUAUAAGGGAAAAUGAAAACCCAGAUGUUAAUCACGUGUGAUUUCCCUGCUUUUAUUCACUCCACAAUACUGACUUCUCUGGUUUACGACAAUUCCAGGGGAACCGGAGGUUGUACUGCGUGUGUACCAGACUGGGAAAGCCACACUGGUUCUUGCUAAAGAAAACGGGAAAUCACAAACAUGUGAUCUACCACCAUGAUGGCGCCUACGGCAAGAUGCUACUGAUGUCGACGUCAUCUUGCAGAAGAAAAAAGAUAAUCCACCAUGCUUAUAAAAAUGGGAGGGCAGCCUCCAAAGCUCUAAGAACCAGCCAAUAUCUCCUGUUGGUUGCAUUGUCCCUUUAGAACCUCCUGCAUUGAGCUGUCCCACGUGGUCCUUCGUAUGGCCACCCCCUGUCAAUUUAUCAGUGAAUAAUUCCCUUAAAGUUUCCCUCCCUGCUAUGUGCAUCUCCACCAGGUUCCUCCUUACUCUAAGUGCAAGCCUCGAUUCAAGAGAAUUCGCAAUUUUUCCCCGCGUAAUUGCGUGUAUCUUCCAUUCAAAGACGGUGCAAGUAAAGCUGUGGAAACAUCCAGUUCGUCUUGUGCCUUCCACAGUGAAAAUAGCUACUGAGCUCUAUCCAACAGUGUCCCUUUUCAGGAGGAUCAUACCAUAAAUUCUGUUAAUUCUAAUCACCCACUUGACAGGACUCUGUUAGCUUGUCUGAUUAAAUUCUCCAUUCUUCUUAUUCAUGUGUUAUGUUGAUAUAAUUGAUUG